Long non-coding RNA from Calidris pugnax (ruff), 261 nucleotides. RefSeq lists it as uncharacterized. The transcript has 3 exons. The record is from RefSeq and is a predicted model, not a curated record. NCBI's taxonomy places the organism in Eukaryota, Metazoa, Chordata, Aves, Charadriiformes, Scolopacidae.
GGAACCUGCUGGACAUGGACACCUUCUCCAAGUCUGACCCAGUGGUGGUCCUCUUCGUGCAGGGCUCGGGGAGCAGCGAGUGGAAGGAGUUUGGGCGCACGGAGGUGAUCGACAACACCCUGAACCCUGACUUCGUCCGCAAGUUCGUCCUCGACUACUACUUUGAGGAGAAGCAAAACCUCCGCUUCGACGUGUGAGUGGGGCGGCCGGGGAAGGGCUCAGCCCCGGCUCAGGGCGGAACAAAGCACCGAGUCAGUAAUA